UACGAAGGGGGCUAGCGUUGCUCGGAAUCACUGGGCGUAAGCGCACGUAGGCGGCUUGUUAAGUCAGGGGUGAAAUCCUGGAGCUCAACUCCAGAACUGCCUUUGAUACUGGCGAGCUUGAGUUCGGGAGAGGUGAGUGGAACUGCGAGUGUAGAGGUGAAAUUCGUAGAUAUUCGCAAGAACACCAGUGGCGAAGGCGGCUCACUGGCCCGAUACUGACGCUGAGGUGCGAAAGCGUGGGGAGCAAACAGG
RNAcentral lists this ribosomal RNA (252 nucleotides) under uncultured bacterium. RNAcentral's name for it is "partial 16S ribosomal RNA". It matches the Rfam family "Bacterial small subunit ribosomal RNA", at positions 524 to 776 of the family's 1533-position model. The record is from RNAcentral.